Molecule: long non-coding RNA, 394 nt
Filed under: Olea europaea (common olive)
Lineage: Eukaryota; Viridiplantae; Streptophyta; Magnoliopsida; Lamiales; Oleaceae
Description: long non-coding RNA (OEUR_LNC008115)
Source: RNAcentral
ACAUGUUGGCACGUGAUUGGACAGAUCGAAAAAAAAUAAAAAAAGUUAUCCAUCUAAACAUUGUAUAACUCACUAAUAACAAGUUUUAUUCUCGUACAUAAAAAUUCCCUAACCAAUUAAUCUAACAACCACUACCUCCACCACCACCUCCUCCACCUCCAGCUGCUGCUACUGCUGCUGCUACUCCACUUCCCUUCUUGUGAUCAGGGUCAUCAGCGCAGUCUCCACAAGCAAAAAUAAACAUGGACAUAAUGGACAAAGACAUAACAAUCAUACCAAGCAUGAACAUGAACCCCAUAAAGCCUCCCUCACUUGCAAAAUUGCCACCAUUUGCAACAACAAAAUACCGAGCCAUGUUGAUCGAGCAAAGAUAAAUAUUUUGGGAGGACUCAAC